This 244-nucleotide ribosomal RNA is filed under the name Francisella tularensis subsp. holarctica. RNAcentral's name for it is "partial 16S ribosomal RNA". It matches the Rfam family "Bacterial small subunit ribosomal RNA", at positions 100 to 352 of the family's 1533-position model. The record is from RNAcentral. Lineage: Bacteria; Pseudomonadati; Pseudomonadota; Gammaproteobacteria; Thiotrichales; Francisellaceae.
GACGGGUGAGUAACGCGUAGGAAUCUGCCCAUUUGAGGGGUAUACCAGUUGGAAACGACUGUUAAUACCGCAUAAUAUCUGUGGAUUAAAGGUGUCUUUCGGGCUGUCGCAGAUGGAUGAGCCUGCGUUGGAUUAGCUAGUUGGUGGGGUAAGGGCCCACCAAGGCAACGAUCCAUAGCUGAUUUGUGAGGAUGAUCCUCCACAUUGGGACUGAGACACGGCCCAAACUCCUACGCGAGGCAGC